AGGAUAGUAGUUAAUAAUAACAUUUAAUUUGCAUUUAAAAAGUAUUGAAUAAAUCAAUUUAUCUUA
Molecule: transfer RNA, 66 nt
Filed under: Callicerus obscurus
Lineage: Eukaryota; Metazoa; Arthropoda; Insecta; Coleoptera; Staphylinidae
Description: tRNA-Ala
Source: RNAcentral